AUUUUCAUAUUGCAAGUAUUACAAUUUUGAAAUUAAUGACGAAUAGAGUUGAUAAAUGAAUUAUUCCCUUUUACGAAAUUGCACACAAACAGUGCAUUUAAUGGAACAUGAAUCUUCCGACGUAGCUACUGAUUGAUUUCAAAAUAAAAACCUAUGAAUCCAUUUUGGCGAUAAAUGGAAGCAGUUUUCUGGACGACGGCAACUCUGUAACAAUAAUGGAAUAUCAAAGUUUUUUCAACCUACGUCAUGGCUUUCAAUUCCUGUAUUUUUUUAUAAUUAGUUGGAAUGAUCAACUUAAAACCAAGCUCUUUCGCGUGUAACGACAGCGUUACUGCUCUAAUUUUUCCAUCAUUUUGGAAACUGAUACGUUUGACUAAAAUAGCUCUCUCAUUGAGAUAUACAUUGCCAGCAUACGUACAAAUAGUUGCAAAACUUACGAAUGCUUAUUUUGUAUGGAAGACUUAGCUAACAUAAGCUGCCAUCGAUUGGUCAAUUCUCUGCUCGCUAUCUUUGGGUGAUGGUCGCUUGUCAAAAAUUUUACAUAUGAAAGCAACAACAAAGUUAUCUAGUUGAAUUCGUGCAGGAGAGUAUGCGAAUACCUCAUUGAAAAAGCUAUCGCCGCUUGCUUAGUGCUUCCAAGUUUUGUUUUACACAUUUUAGAACCAUUUUACUAUUGUGAACCGCUCAGAUGACAAAUUACUGUUAAAAUAAUAAAAAUUGUUAUACACAAAUGGCAGGCGAAGAUAAAUCAAAACGUUAGACAAGCACGGUGGUAGAAGAGUUCGGUGCGAUCAAUUAUAGACAAUUCGAUUUCAGUACUGCCAGUUCGUAUGAAAUUCCGGAAAGUUUGUUCGGUUGGCUUGUCUAUAACAGUUAGCAGUUAUCGAUGACAGCUUUAAUUAUGUUGGCUUGUCAUUAGUUACCAUAGCCUAUAUAUUGAACUAGAGGCAUUGCCAGUUUAGCGUUUUUUCAUUCACAAUAGGUUUUUUACAAAAAUAGUAGUACGCACUAGCUUGAAACCUUAUUUUGACAGAUGUAAAUGUAAACAAACUACAAUUUUUAAUUCUAUCGAUGAGCAAAAUGGCAAAUAAAAACUUUAUCUUUAUCACUUUCAUGUCCAAUGUUUUUCAAUUAUGUAGACUUAUGUGUUGUGCAACAAUACAGUUACAUUUUAUGUUAUGAGCUAUGCACGUAUUCAUUCAGUAUGCGUUCUUCGCAGGUGGAAUUGUUAAAAUCGGUUUCGCGAAAAAAAAGUUAUACUAAAAUGAUUAUACAAAAGUUUUCAAAAACAUAAAAUUAAUUGUUUUAUUUUAAAACAAACUGAAC
This is a long non-coding RNA of Zeugodacus cucurbitae (melon fly), 1326 nucleotides long. RefSeq lists it as uncharacterized. The transcript has 3 exons. The record is from RefSeq and is a predicted model, not a curated record. Lineage: Eukaryota; Metazoa; Arthropoda; Insecta; Diptera; Tephritidae.